This 125-nucleotide small RNA is filed under the name Marmota monax (woodchuck). Lineage: Eukaryota; Metazoa; Chordata; Mammalia; Rodentia; Sciuridae. The record is from RNAcentral.
GCUGGGCGUGGUGGUGCGUAUCUGUAAUCCCAACAGCUGGGGAGGCUGAGACAGGAGGAUUGCAUGUUCAAAGCCAGCCUCAGCAAAAGCGAGGUGCUAAGCAACUCAGUGAAACCCUGUCUCUA